UAAUAUAUUUUAAAUGUGCUAAAAUUGGAUUCAACAGCAAAAGUCGCAUAAAUAACAUAUAAAUAACGAAUUUGUUUACCUAUUACAAAUGGGGUUAUGUGGUUGUAACUGUUUAUUUUGGGAAUAAAAUGAAAAUGAUCAAUUAAACGACUGGAAAACUAUAGUAAAGUGAAGAACAUCUUGAAGUUCCAAUGAUGUUUCAAGAUGAGAUAAAUCGAAAUAAUGGUUGUAUGUUAGAAGGACAGAGAAUACGAAGAAAUGUUAUUGCUGCAUACUUAGUGUAGUGAAAUACAAACUUCAAACAUUAUAAUAUAUUUUUUUAUUUCAAACAUUUCAUAUGAUUAUGAAAGAACAUCUUCCUCUUUAAAACAAUGAAGAAGUGAAGAACAUAAUAAAGUUCCAACGAAAAUGAUUCCAGAUGAGGAAAAUCGAAAUAAUGGUUGUAUGUUACGUGUAUAGAGAAUACGAAGAAAUGUUAUUGCUGCAAACUUAGUGUAGUGAAUUAAAAACUUAUUGUCAAAUACAAAUCAAUUUAUUUCAUACUUUUAUAAUAUAUAGUGGUACAAUUUUAUAUGUGUUCAAAUAAAAAUAUUAAUAAAUAAAAUACAAUAAACACAAA
This is a long non-coding RNA of Diabrotica virgifera virgifera (western corn rootworm), 619 nucleotides long. RefSeq lists it as uncharacterized. The transcript has 2 exons. The record is from RefSeq and is a predicted model, not a curated record. Lineage: Eukaryota; Metazoa; Arthropoda; Insecta; Coleoptera; Chrysomelidae.